GGGUUGUGAGGUUAAGCGACUAAGCGUACACGGUGGAUGCCCUGGCAGUCAGAGGCGAUGAAGGACGUGCUAAUCUGCGAUAAGCGUCGGUAAGGUGAUAUGAACCGUUAUAACCGGCGAUUUCCGAAUGGGGAAACCCAGUGUGUUUCGACACACUAUCAUUAACUGAAUCCAUAGGUUAAUGAGGCGAACCGGGGGAACUGAAACAUCUAAGUACCCCGAGGAAAAGAAAUCAACCGAGAUUCCCCCAGUAGCGGCGAGCGAACGGGGAGCAGCCCAGAGCCUGAAUCAGUAUGUGUGUUAGUGGAAGCGUCUGGAAAGGCGCGCGAUACAGGGUGACAGCCCCGUACACAAAAAUGCACAUAUUGUGAGCUCGAUGAGUAGGGCGGGACACGUGGUAUCCUGUCUGAAUAUGGGGGGACCAUCCUCCAAGGCUAAAUACUCCUGACUGACCGAUAGUGAACCAGUACCGUGAGGGAAAGGCGAAAAGAACCCCGGCGAGGGGAGUGAAAAAGAACCUGAAACCGUGUACGUACAAGCAGUGGGAGCACGCUUAGGCGUGUGACUGCGUACCUUUUGUAUAAUGGGUCAGCGACUUAUAUUCUGUAGCAAGGUUAACCGAAUAGGGGAGCCGAAGGGAAACCGAGUCUUAACUGGGCGUUAAGUUGCAGGGUAUAGACCCGAAACCCGGUGAUCUAGCCAUGGGCAGGUUGAAGGUUGGGUAACACUAACUGGAGGACCGAACCGACUAAUGUUGAAAAAUUAGCGGAUGACUUGUGGCUGGGGGUGAAAGGCCAAUCAAACCGGGAGAUAGCUGGUUCUCCCCGAAAGCUAUUUAGGUAGCGCCUCGUGAAUUCAUCUCCGGGGGUAGAGCACUGUUUCGGCAAGGGGGUCAUCCCGACUUACCAACCCGAUGCAAACUGCGAAUACCGGAGAAUGUUAUCACGGGAGACACACGGCGGGUGCUAACGUCCGUCGUGAAGAGGGAAACAACCCAGACCGCCAGCUAAGGUCCCAAAGUCAUGGUUAAGUGGGAAACGAUGUGGGAAGGCCCAGACAGCCAGGAUGUUGGCUUAGAAGCAGCCAUCAUUUAAAGAAAGCGUAAUAGCUCACUGGUCGAGUCGGCCUGCGCGGAAGAUGUAACGGGGCUAAACCAUGCACCGAAGCUGCGGCAGCGACACUAUGUGUUGUUGGGUAGGGGAGCGUUCUGUAAGCCUGUGAAGGUGUGCUGUGAGGCAUGCUGGAGGUAUCAGAAGUGCGAAUGCUGACAUAAGUAACGAUAAAGCGGGUGAAAAGCCCGCUCGCCGGAAGACCAAGGGUUCCUGUCCAACGUUAAUCGGGGCAGGGUGAGUCGACCCCUAAGGCGAGGCCGAAAGGCGUAGUCGAUGGGAAACAGGUUAAUAUUCCUGUACUUGGUGUUACUGCGAAGGGGGACGGAGAAGGCUAUGUUGGCCGGGCGACGGUUGUCCCGGUUUAAGCGUGUAGGCUGGUUUUCCAGGCAAAUCCGGAAAAUCAAGGCUGAGGCGUGAUGACGAGGCACUACGGUGCUGAAGCAACAAAUGCCCUGCUUCCAGGAAAAGCCUCUAAGCAUCAGGUAACAUCAAAUCGUACCCCAAACCGACACAGGUGGUCAGGUAGAGAAUACCAAGGCGCUUGAGAGAACUCGGGUGAAGGAACUAGGCAAAAUGGUGCCGUAACUUCGGGAGAAGGCACGCUGAUAUGUAGGUGAAGUCCCUCGCGGAUGGAGCUGAAAUCAGUCGAAGAUACCAGCUGGCUGCAACUGUUUAUUAAAAACACAGCACUGUGCAAACACGAAAGUGGACGUAUACGGUGUGACGCCUGCCCGGUGCCGGAAGGUUAAUUGAUGGGGUUAGCCGCAAGGCGAAGCUCUUGAUCGAAGCCCCGGUAAACGGCGGCCGUAACUAUAACGGUCCUAAGGUAGCGAAAUUCCUUGUCGGGUAAGUUCCGACCUGCACGAAUGGCGUAAUGAUGGCCAGGCUGUCUCCACCCGAGACUCAGUGAAAUUGAACUCGCUGUGAAGAUGCAGUGUACCCGCGGCAAGACGGAAAGACCCCGUGAACCUUUACUAUAGCUUGACACUGAACAUUGAGCCUUGAUGUGUAGGAUAGGUGGGAGGCUUUGAAGUGUGGACGCCAGUCUGCAUGGAGCCGACCUUGAAAUACCACCCUUUAAUGUUUGAUGUUCUAACGUUGACCCGUAAUCCGGGUUGCGGACAGUGUCUGGUGGGUAGUUUGACUGGGGCGGUCUCCUCCUAAAGAGUAACGGAGGAGCACGAAGGUUGGCUAAUCCUGGUCGGACAUCAGGAGGUUAGUGCAAUGGCAUAAGCCAGCUUGACUGCGAGCGUGACGGCGCGAGCAGGUGCGAAAGCAGGUCAUAGUGAUCCGGUGGUUCUGAAUGGAAGGGCCAUCGCUCAACGGAUAAAAGGUACUCCGGGGAUAACAGGCUGAUACCGCCCAAGAGUUCAUAUCGACGGCGGUGUUUGGCACCUCGAUGUCGGCUCAUCACAUCCUGGGGCUGAAGUAGGUCCCAAGGGUAUGGCUGUUCGCCAUUUAAAGUGGUACGCGAGCUGGGUUUAGAACGUCGUGAGACAGUUCGGUCCCUAUCUGCCGUGGGCGCUGGAGAACUGAGGGGGGCUGCUCCUAGUACGAGAGGACCGGAGUGGACGCAUCACUGGUGUUCGGGUUGUCAUGCCAAUGGCACUGCCCGGUAGCUAAAUGCGGAAGAGAUAAGUGCUGAAAGCAUCUAAGCACGAAACUUGCCCCGAGAUGAGUUCUCCCUGACUCCUUGAGAGUCCUGAAGGAACGUUGAAGACGACGACGUUGAUAGGCCGGGUGUGUAAGCGCAGCGAUGCGUUGAGCUAACCGGUACUAAUGAACCGUGAGGCUUAACCUUACAACGCCGAAGCUGUU
This 2930-nucleotide ribosomal RNA is filed under the name Escherichia coli. Its description in RNAcentral is "bacterial LSU rRNA". It matches the Rfam family "Bacterial large subunit ribosomal RNA". The record is from RNAcentral. Lineage: Bacteria; Pseudomonadati; Pseudomonadota; Gammaproteobacteria; Enterobacterales; Enterobacteriaceae.